RNAcentral lists this transfer RNA (71 nucleotides) under Haloarcula quadrata. RNAcentral's name for it is "tRNA-Thr". The stretch from base 11 to 71 matches the Rfam family "tRNA". From Rfam's summary of the family: Transfer RNA (tRNA) molecules are approximately 80 nucleotides in length. Their secondary structure includes four short double-helical elements and three loops (D, anti-codon, and T loops). Further hydrogen bonds mediate the characteristic L-shaped molecular structure. tRNAs have two regions of fundamental functional importance: the anti-codon, which is responsible for specific mRNA codon recognition, and the 3' end, to which the tRNAs corresponding amino acid is attached (by aminoacyl-tRNA synthetases). tRNAs cope with the degeneracy of the genetic code in two manners: having more than one tRNA (with a specific anti-codon) for a particular amino acid; and 'wobble' base-pairing, i.e. permitting non-standard base-pairing at the 3rd anti-codon position. Lineage: Archaea; Methanobacteriati; Methanobacteriota; Halobacteria; Halobacteriales; Haloarculaceae. The record is from RNAcentral.
GCCAGAGAGUGCUUGGGUAAAGCGCGUCCUUGGUAAGGACGAGACCCCGGAUUCAAAUUCCGGCCUAGGCU